This is a small nucleolar RNA of Ornithorhynchus anatinus (platypus), 139 nucleotides long. The record is from RefSeq and is a predicted model, not a curated record. Lineage: Eukaryota; Metazoa; Chordata; Mammalia; Monotremata; Ornithorhynchidae.
CCCCUUUCAGGCUUACAUCUGAAGAGUUUCCAGCACUCUACCAGUCUCAACUAUGGGAGUGGUGAGCCAAGCAGAGGUAUACCCAUUCCAUUCCUAGCUUGAGCAGUGGCUAGUGAGUGGAAGGCAAUCUGCUACAAGU